RNAcentral lists this ribosomal RNA (730 nucleotides) under uncultured eukaryote. RNAcentral describes it as "SSU rRNA". It matches the Rfam family "Eukaryotic small subunit ribosomal RNA", at positions 670 to 1427 of the family's 1831-position model. The record is from RNAcentral.
CGGGUGCACUGAUCCAGCCGGGCCUUUCCCUCUGUGGAACCCCAUGGCCUUCACUGGCUGUGGUGGGGAAACAGGACUUUUACUUUGAAAAAAUUAGAGUGCUCCAGGCAGGCCUAUGCUCGAAUACAUUAGCAUGGAAUAAUAGAAUAGGACGUGUGGUUCUAUUUUGUUGGUUUCUAGGACCGCCGUAAUGAUUAAUAGGGACAGUCGGGGGCAUCAGUAUUCAAUUGUCAGAGGUGAAAUUCUUGGAUCUAUUGAAGACUAACUACUGCGAAAGCAUUUGCCAAGGAUGUUUUCAUUGAUAAGGAACGAAAGUUAGGGGAUCGAAGACGAUCAGAUACCGUCGUAGUCUUAACUAUAAACUAUGCCGACUAGGGAUCGGACGAUGUUAUUCUUUGACGCGUUCGGCACCUUUCGAGAAAUCAAAGUGCUUGGGCUCCAGGGGGAGUAUGGUCGCAAGGCUGAAACUUAAAGAAAUUGACGGAAGGGCACCACCAGGGGUGGAACCUGCGGCUUAAUUUGACUCAACACGGGGAAACUCACCAGGUCCAGACACAGUGAGGAUUGACAGAUUGAGAGCUCUUUCUUGAUUCUGUGGGUGGUGGUGCAUGGCCGUUCUUAGUUGGUGGAGUGAUUUGUCUGCUUAAUUGCGAUAACGAACGAGACCUUAACCUGCUAAAUAGCCCGUACUGCUUUGGCAGUUCGCCGGCUUCUUAGAGGGACUAUCGCG